AUAUUGGUCAAUAGCCUAACGGCUGAACCAGCAACUUGGAGGAAUGUAUGGCAAUAGCUGGUUGCAUUAACAAAAAGUUAGUGUAAGAUCGACUCUGUCGAAUAAAAUUGUAGAUAGAAUUAUGAUAAUGACAUUAUCUAUCUAUGUGUCUUGACCAAAUUACGUGCCAGCAGUCGCGGUAAUAGGUAAAAGACUAGUGUUAUUCAUCUUUAAUAGGUUUAAAGGGUAUUUAGACGGUAAAUUAAGCCGGGAUAGGGAACUAAUAUACUAGAGUUUGAUGUAAGGAAGCAUGAAAGUACUGUUGGUGUAGAGAUAAAAUUCUAUCAUACCAAAUAUGGCACAGGUUUUGGGGAAAGCAUCUUCUUAUGUAAUAACUGACGUUGAAGGACGAAGGCUUUGUGUCGCGAACAGGAUUAGAUACCCCAGUAGUCUAAGCAGACAACGAUGAAUGUCAUAGAUUAGAUUUAAUUUAUUCUAUAAAUUAAAGUGUAAGCAUUCCACCUCAAGAGUAAUUUGGCAACGUUGGAACUGAAAUCUUUAGACCGUGUCUGAAACCAUUAGUGAAUUACUUUAUUUAAUUCCAUAACCCCCCC
RNAcentral lists this ribosomal RNA (593 nucleotides) under Lecidea plana. RNAcentral's name for it is "SSU rRNA". It matches the Rfam family "Bacterial small subunit ribosomal RNA", at positions 361 to 975 of the family's 1533-position model. The record is from RNAcentral. Lineage: Eukaryota; Fungi; Ascomycota; Lecanoromycetes; Lecideales; Lecideaceae.